RNAcentral lists this long non-coding RNA (1708 nucleotides) under Oryzias sinensis (Chinese medaka). RNAcentral describes it as "lncRNA (ENSOSIG00000002833.1)". The record is from RNAcentral. Lineage: Eukaryota; Metazoa; Chordata; Actinopteri; Beloniformes; Adrianichthyidae.
UUUAUUAGUGAAUUUAAAGUAACCAAGAAAAUACCAACUUUUUUCAUCCUUUUUUUUCUCCAAUCAGAGGCAGUGGGACUCUUGUGAGCAACCUUCAUACAGUGAACUUUUACAGGAGCUUGAGAUCAAAUGUGCAGUGAAGCGGCUUUUCACCGGGACCCUGCAGCUUCCCAGGUUGUCAUGCCGACGCUCUCCACAGACCGGAGCGGAGGAUGGAGCCUCACCUGGACCUACAGGCCGAAGCAUCAAACCCUCUAGGAGCCUGGGGACCCUGACAAGCUGCAUGCCCAGAGGCUUGGCUCCGCUUGUACAGGACUGUAAAGGUGCGUCACAAACCACAGCAUCCCAUCACAACAAGCACCUUCCAGCCCUGGUUUCAUCACAGCACGUCUGUGCCGUCCAUUAUGUACAAACACACCUGUUGAGUUCAGAAGUGGUGCAUGCAGGUCAGCAGACAGCGAGCUCAGCCGUGUACAACCAUGUCCUUGUUUGUUUACCCUCUGUGUCUCUUUCAGCAUCCAGAACCCCACCCCUUAUCCCUCCCCCUGCCUCCCUCUCAAGGGAGAUAGUGUUGUUUGUUGUUUUAGCAUGAGUUUGGUCCCACCACUCUCAGGAGAGCACAGCUCCGCCAUGGUCGACACGGGAGCAUCUGAUUGGAGAAGAGCCCUGCAGCUGUUUUUUUUCCUCCACCAGGAAUAACUUCACUCAGCUGCUGAUGGUUGAUCGCUCAGACUUGCUUUAGACGGCUGGUUUCCUGCCGAGGUGGAUGGAUGGAACUCCAAAGAGAAUGGGGAUUUUUCUGGAAUGACUGGAGUGUUUAAGUUCCUGGAUCAUUUGGAAAAUUGAAGAGAAUUAAAAAAAGAGAAGAAAUAUUGUAUGUUGAUGCAGCUGAAAGAGGACUGAAUGAAUGAGUACUGACAGCCAACACAUCCUCUAGUAGAAGGGUCUAAAUCUGGCCCCUCACCUUCCCUGUGACUGAGAUGAUGUGCUGACCCGGAGUCUGUAUGGUCCGUACUCUUUGCCUUUUAAGGCUCAUCCCACCCACACAUGCAACAGACUGCAGCUUGAUCCUCCUCACUGAUUUCCUACAAUCUACUAAAACAAAUGGACAUAUCUUCAUGUAGAGACUAAAUCAUUACUUUGUAAUUUCAUGUCACACUUUGGAUUUUCUCUGCUCCUGGUCUUACGUUGUGUUGUAACCUGGGGUUUGCAUUUUGCAUGUUUUUCAAUUGUUAUUCCUGGAUCUUCUCAUCAUCCUCUUGAAUGAACUAUUCUGGUGCCAAAAAAGUUAGAUGGACAGCCUCUUUCCCUCAACACUGACUUCACUGAUGACAAAAAGGCUCAUCGUUUUCUCCUGCUGAUUUUUAAAGAAAGUAACAACAUGAAUAAGGAAUCCCGUUUUUCCCGGAAGAUGCACGGCAGCUUCUCCACGCGCAGACACUCCUGUAUUGGGUAAGUUUCUGAUUGUUUAGGGAGAGGAACAGCAAAACACGUGUCUUCAGAUUUGACUGGAAUGAGGCUUUUACUUUGAAGGAACAGAUGUGUCAGGACUUUUUGGAGCAUGUUUCUCUGUGACAUUUGUUCACAAGCUGCUGUUUGUGUGACUGAGGUUUCUCUGUUUUUAGAAAGGGAAAAUAAGAAAUUUUUAGGUUUCUAAUGCAGUUCUAAAUCAGAGAGAAGUCCAUUUAAUGACCUUAAAAUGGGUGCA